RNAcentral lists this transfer RNA (64 nucleotides) under Atyopsis moluccensis. RNAcentral's name for it is "tRNA-Arg". The record is from RNAcentral. Lineage: Eukaryota; Metazoa; Arthropoda; Malacostraca; Decapoda; Atyidae.
GAUUGGGAAGCGAAAAUCGCGUUUAGUUUCGGCCUAAAAUUUGGUGUAAACUCACCCCCUAUCU